CCUACGGGAGGCAGCAGUAGGGAAUCUUUCACAAUGGGCGAAAGCCUGACGGAGCAACGCCGCGUGCGGGAUGAAGGCCUUCGGGUUGUAAACUGCUUUUAUAAGCGAGAAAUAUGAUGGUAACUUAUGAAUAAGGAUCGGCUAACUACGUGCCAGCAGCCACGGUCAUACGUAGGAUCCGAGCAUUAUCCGGAGUGACUGGGUGUAAAGAGUUGCGUAGGUGGGAUAAUAAGUAGCUAGUGAAAUCGGGUGGCUCAACCAUUCAGACUAUUAGUUAAACUGGUAAGCUCGAGACCGUUAGGGGUAACUGGAAUUCCUAGGGUAGGAGUGAAAUCCGUAGAUAUUAGAAGGAACACCAAUAGCGUAGGCAGGUUGCUGGGACGGUUCUGACACUAAGGCACGAAAGCGUAGGGAGCAAACGGGAUUAGAUACCCCUGUAGUC
RNAcentral lists this ribosomal RNA (442 nucleotides) under uncultured bacterium. RNAcentral's name for it is "partial 16S ribosomal RNA". It matches the Rfam family "Bacterial small subunit ribosomal RNA", at positions 338 to 795 of the family's 1533-position model. The record is from RNAcentral.